RNAcentral lists this ribosomal RNA (253 nucleotides) under uncultured bacterium. Its description in RNAcentral is "partial 16S ribosomal RNA". It matches the Rfam family "Bacterial small subunit ribosomal RNA", at positions 524 to 776 of the family's 1533-position model. The record is from RNAcentral.
UACGUAGGGUGCGAGCGUUAAUCGGAAUUACUGGGCGUAAAGGGUGCGUAGGCGGAUAUAUAAGUUAGAUGUGAAAUCCCCGAGCUUAACUUGGGAAUGGCAUUUAAGACUGUAUGUCUAGAGUCUGUAAGAGGGGGGUAGAAUUCCGAGUGUAGCAGUGAAAUGCGUAGAGAUUCGGAGGAACACCAGUGGCGAAGGCGGCCCCCUGGUAUAAGACUGACGCUGAGGCACGAAAGCGUGGGUAGCAAACAGG